ACGUAUUCCCUUGUUCUCUAGGUGGGCUCCUGAUUGCUGAAACUUGAAUGUAUUCCCUUGUUAUCCAAGUGGGCUCCUGAUUGCCGAAACUUGAAUGUAUUCCCUUGUUCUCCAGGUGGGCUCCUGAUUGCUGAACUUGAAAUGUAUUCCCUUGCUCUCUAGGUGGGCUCCUGAUUUCAACAAAAAUAGACAAAACAAAGAAUAUUUUCUGCCCCAGUUUGGUAGCUGGGUACAUAUGUGAUUGUUAACCCGUUCAUAUUACCAAAUAUCAAUAAGAACUUGAAAGCUGAAACUUGAAUUGUAUUCCCUUGCUCUCCAGGUGGGAUCCUGAUUGCCGAACUUGAAUUUUAUUCCCUUGUUCUCCAGGUGGGCGCCUGAUUGUUGAACUUGAAUGUAUUCCCUUGCUCUCCAAGUGGGCACCUGAUUGCUGAACUUGAAUGUAUUCCUUUGCUCUCCAGGUGGGCGCCUGAUUGCUGAACUUGAA
RNAcentral lists this long non-coding RNA (484 nucleotides) under Nicotiana tabacum (common tobacco). Its description in RNAcentral is "long non-coding RNA (NTAB_LNC005684)". Lineage: Eukaryota; Viridiplantae; Streptophyta; Magnoliopsida; Solanales; Solanaceae. The record is from RNAcentral.